This 4766-nucleotide long non-coding RNA is filed under the name Bemisia tabaci. RNAcentral describes it as "lncRNA ENSSSA3NGG008923". Lineage: Eukaryota; Metazoa; Arthropoda; Insecta; Hemiptera; Aleyrodidae. The record is from RNAcentral.
GAUAAAUUUAAAAUUUAGAUAUUUCAACUUCAUUCCUCAAUAUUGAAAUUAAGAAGUACACUAGUGUAGAAAACUUUGCAUCUUAAGCAACAUUUUGAAGGUAGGAAAAAAUGUGGAAUGCCUUAGAUUUAUCCAACGUUUUUAGCACUACCCUCCUGAAAUUUCUAGGUUUUUUUCAUUUUUUUGGUACCUAGGUCUGAGAAUUUUGAAGCUCUUAGGAUGAAAAAUUAGGGGACAAAGACUUUCCAAAUUCCUGUAUAUCCUGAAGCAAGCUAAUUUCAUGAAAAUUGAUCCUGCAACUGUUGUGUUCAGGACUUUUCCCUUGGAGUGUUUUUUUUCAAAAGAUCAGUGUCCACAUUUGUUUGCUAAUACAGUUUUGUUUUUCUUGUUGAAGAGUAUUAUCCAGUCCAAACUUUAUGAAGACUCUUACACAGCGCAUUGUCAGUGGAAAUAUCAGCAAAAACUUUGAAAAACCAUCCAGAGGGAAUCUCAGGGCUAGUUUGAAACUCCUCCGAUCUCAAGUCACAACUUUGGAGGUGGAACGAUCUGCUUUACGAGCAACUUGUGCCCAGUUAUCAGCUGAAAAAGAGGAGGCAAUGCAAAGUCUGGACUAUUUCAAAGAAAAUUAUGAUCGAUUGCUGAGGGACCAGAUAAAUUUAGAAAAACAACAGGAACUGCUAGUCACUAAAAACGAUGAACUCUUGUCAAGAUGGAGACACACUCAGCGAGCGUUUAAUGCCCUUUCAACAGAAACAAGGUUUCUCAGGGAAGAAAAUUCUGCACUCAGGGAACGGAUCAACGCUCACGAAGCCUUGGAUGAAAAAAAUGAGUCUUAGGAUUCAAGAAACUUUGCUUUUUGCAAGAAAUACUUUUAAUUUGAAGGUGCCUCAAUUGUAUACGCUGUUGCUCAAGCUGAAUUGUUUUCAGAACCAUCAGCCCUGAAGAAUUGGAGAUUGGUUGGAAAGCUAGCCGAGUCUCACCACAAUGUUUUUUCUUUCUGUUUUAAUUGCUAAUAUUAGUAACUAUUACAUGCUGUGAUAUUUAUUUUAUUAUGUUUGUUAUUUAAUUUAGAUUAAAUUUAGUACUUGGAUUUAACUAAAUGUCCCUUGGCAUAGAAAAAAAUAGUCUGAAAUGAAGCAGUAUGUGAAUAAGAACCCUAUUGAAUAGCCAUUGUCUGGUUGUGUUUUAGAUUUUCAACCAGUUUUCAGCUUUUGCUAAUACACAGGAAUUUCUGUGCUGUAUAGUAACCACUGAUUUCACUUGCAGAGUUGCCACUCUGAAGAAACAUAAAGAAAAUACUGAGACCGCAGACUGGAGGGAAACAAAGAGGCAAUAGGGAUAUACCGAGCAAGAGACCACAAACUCCCUAUUAAGGUGAUUCAUGGACGCCAUAUUUUGUGUCAGAACGGCAUGCGAUAUAUCGCAUCAAUUGGUUCCAUUUUUUCAGCUACUUGUCAUUUGUCUCCAAUUUUGAGAUCGCAAUUUUGUUGUCGGGAGACUAAAGCAUUCACUUACCAAAUUUUAACAAAGAAAUUCAACGUAAUAGAGGCGUGGUUUUUUUUUAGAGAGAAAAUAUCGCAUUCGAGUGCAGUUGCGAUAUAAGUAUCGAAUGUGAUGUUUUCUCUUCAAAAAAACCACGCCUUUAUUACGUUGAAUUUCUUUGUUAAAAUUGGUAAGUGAGUGCCUUAGUCUCCUGACAACAGGAUUGCGAUCUCAAAAUUGGAGACAAAUGACGAGUAGCUGAAAAAAUGGAACUAAUCGAUGCGAUAUAUCUCAUGCCGUUCUGACACAAAAUAUGGCGUCCAUCGAAUCACCUUAACAGUGUCUUCUAGUUUAAUUCAAUGGAACUGAAGCAUAUUACUCUUCUUAUUAUCCCACGCAAGUUUUUUUGGAUACGGGGAAAUUUUAUACAAUCGUUCUUGAGAUAUUUACCCAUAACAUCAGGAAAACUCAUUGGAAUUUGUCAUUAAAUGCCUAUUUUCAUUAAACUGAAUAUUCCUUUGAGGAGUUAGAACCUUUGACUGGCCUAUCCCUUGUUCUCUCCUCUUGCCUUUUAUUUGCUACUUUCUCUCAACAACUUUCAAUUCUUAAUGCCAUUUUAACAAUUUAUGUAAUCCUCAUUAUUACUUAUUCUUAUUUUUGUUUCUGAUUCUAUGCUCCCUCUCACAAAUAGAUGGUCAAAGUGUAAAACCUUGUAUCUCCAUCGUGAUGUUUCAAAAUUUCCAUUAUUUAUUUUUUGAAUAGAAACAAGCCAACAUUAUAGCUUGACAUUUAUACAGAAGAUAUAUUUUUCUAACAGCAGAAUACUCCAGGAUAUUUACCACAAAUUACAUUGACAAGUUUUCCAAACGAAAAAUAAGUAUGACAAGAAAUGUGCUAUAUCGCAAAUAGAGAUAGGUGGUCUCGCACUUUGGCCAUCAAUAUAAAUUUUUUUAGCUCAUUUUCAAGAGCCAGUCUCAAAGUACUUUUGAAUCACACCAAGUGAUUUUUUUUAAAUACUUCACAAUCACAAAUAUCUUGAAAAUGGCACCCUAAAUCUUCGAGCACUCAGCAGAACUUUAGUGCUGGAGGUCGCCUGAAAGGCAGACUCUUCCUAUAUGAGUCCUGUAGUUUUUUUUAUGAACUAAGGUGGUUUCACUUCAGUCAAGUAAAAAAAAAAUGAACUAGUAGAAAUGAAAGUUUUCAAACUUGGCGGUAGUGUUAUUUAUUUGAGGUCAAUGCUUACACCUCAAAAACAUAUACAAUCGUACUGUGGACAUCUCUGUCAAUGUGUAACGAUACAACUCUGUACUUAGCACUGAUGGAUGCAGCAAUCGUAGCUUGUAAUGUAUUUAGAGUCACUGAAGCGUCACCAAUCCUAUGGCCUAAUCCACGCUGGCACAGUUUGCGGAACUUUGGGUGAACUUGUUCCAGGAACUUAUUAUAAGUUAGCUUCAACUUGUUCAUGAAUUAAUUCGCUCAAAUUGCGCUCGUGUGGACAAGGCCUAUGUUCUGAAAGUUACCGAGACCUUAUAGGUUUGCCAAGUUACCCAAUGAUCCAGUCUAUAAUCAAGCCAGCCCUUAAGGCACCUAAAGUUAAGGUCAUUAUCAAAAUUUUGUUGUAAUGUUUUCGGUUUUCUGCUUUCAUCUUAUUCUUUCAAUUUAUGAAUUAGUAGCUGAGGAUUUUAUUUUCCUUUUCAAAAUUAUCAAUAGCACCUACUUCUUUUUUUUAAUAUCAAUUUGAGGUGGUUGUUUUCAAUUAACUUUUUUAUUAUUGUUUUUAUCUGCAUCAUAUUUGAUAGUAUUGGUCAAUUUAUCCUGCCUAUCUGUUUACUGCCAAUCUUUGUCGAAAAUUUAAAUUUUAAAAUUCGUCAUCGAUAAAUCCACUCCUUUGUAAAAAUUGCUUUCAUACUCUUUCUCAUAUUCAUGUUUUCAUAUUUUCCUCUUCUUUCAGUUCAACCGAAUUUAAUGCAGAGUUCGCGUCGUUUUUUGGCAUCACUACUCUCAUACAUUCUUCAUUUGUAAUGUUAAAGUUAAUUUUUAUAUAGCAGAAGAGUUCUUUCAUUUAGUUUCUGAUCUUGUUUAGUUUUUAUUUAAUUUCUAAUUUUCUUAAAGAAAUAGUACCAAUUACAAGAAUAUUACGUUUAUAUCCUAUCAAAAAUAUAACCCAAUUUUUUUUUUUUUUAAUUUUUUCUUUUUCUUGUCGUAUGUAUCUUUGUUGUCAAACUGUGGUAAGCAAACAGUUUUAAAUCUAGAAUUUGAAGGGCUCAAACUGUAAAUAUUUAUCUGGUAGGAGCCUCAUAAAUCAGAUGUAACGUUUAAAAAAAGCAGUUCAUUUGAAUGGUAAAUCCAAGAAAUCAAACUUUGUAACCACUUGCCAGCAGUAAGAGCAAAAGUCAAUUGAAGUCUGGCAUGAAUUCCUAAUUUGAAGAAUUGGACAAUUUUUAGAUUUUUAUGAUACAAAAGCACUUUUUUAACAUGUUUUGAGAUGCAAUAUUGUAAUAUUGAAUCCUGUGUACCAUCAGUCAAAAUUAUUGAUUUUCGCCCAGAGUCCAUUUGUUCGAUGAGCUCUUCAUUUUCUCUCUUACUAUCUUUUUCUAUCUUUGUCAAAUAGAAAACAUCGUAGAUGAAAAAUGAGAAAAGCAAUUUUUGAAGCAAACCUGGAAGGUGUAUCAACUUGAGCAAAAAGGCUAUUUUUGUUCGUUCCUGCUUUACUUGAAGUAGGAACAUUUCUAAAUCACCAUCUUCAGAGUUCUGCAGAGAUUUUAUCAGUUGAUUCGCUUUUGGGUUAGUCUUUUUAUUUUUAUCAAUCCUCAUUUAGUUUUGUUUCUAGUAUCUAUAAUUUGUUUUUUGUAAAAUAUGCAAGCAGUUAUUAAUAUACUUCAUUGAUAGUUUGUACUACAUUCUCUUUUUACUCUAUUUAUUCACCGCUAAACUCUGAGAACAAGUAUCUCAAGUACAGCAUUUAAAAAUCUCUGCUCGUGCUGAAUUUUUUCAAAACUUCCAAACUAUUUGGGAUUUUCACAAAAUGAAUUCUUUCUAUUUUGAAGAAGAGUCACCAAAGUUUUUGAAAAAUGAUGUUGCUAGAUAGGUAUUCUUCCGAAAACGUUAAUCAUAACUGAGACUUUGCAAUGUUGCGAACUGAGGGACAUGUUGUAAAAUUUUAGCCUAUGUUUCUCUUCUUCCCUCCGUAUCCCCAAGAAAGAACCCAAGUAAUGGUUGGAAAAGAAAAACAAACAAACAAACAACCAACUAGUACGAACUUAUAUGCCUGUUGAUGGAGUUAG